GACGAACGCUGGCGGCGUGCCUAAUACAUGCAAGUAGAACGCUGAAGGAGGAGCUUGCUUCUCUGGAUGAGUUGCGCACGGGUGAGUAACGCGUAGGUAACCUGCCUGGUAGCGGGGGAUAACUAUUGGAAACGAUAGCUAAUACCGCAUAACAGUAGAUAUCGCAUGAUAUCUACUUGAAAGGUGCAAUUGCAUCACUACCAGAUGGACCUGCGUUGUAUUAGCUAGUUGGUGAGGUAACGGCUCAACAAGGCGACGAUACAUAGCCGACCUGGGAGGGGGAACGGCCACACUGGGACUGGGACACGGCCCAGACUCCUACGGGAGGGAGCAGGAGGGAAUCUUCGGCAAUGGACGGAAGUCUGACCGUGCAACGCCGCGUGAGUGAAGGAGGUUUUCGGAUCGUAAAGCUCUGGUGUAAGAGAAGAACGAGUGGGAGAGUGGAAAGUUCACGCUGUGACGGUAUCUUACCAGAAAGGGACGGCUAACUACGUG
This 495-nucleotide ribosomal RNA is filed under the name uncultured bacterium. RNAcentral's name for it is "partial 16S ribosomal RNA". It matches the Rfam family "Bacterial small subunit ribosomal RNA", at positions 28 to 507 of the family's 1533-position model. The record is from RNAcentral.